GAACGGUAGCACAGGGGAGCUUGCUCCCCGGGUGACGAGUGGCGGACGGGUGAGUAAUGCCUGGGAAACUGCCCGAUGGAGGGGGAUAACUACUGGAAACGGUAGCUAAUACCGCAUAACGUCUUCGGACCAAAGUGGGGGACCUUCGGGCCUCACACCAUCGGAUGUGCCCAGGUGGGAUUAGCUAGUAGGUGGGGUAACGGCUCACCUAGGCGACGAUCCCUAGCUGGUCUGAGAGGAUGACCAGCCACACUGGAACUGAGACACGGUCCAGACUCCUACGGGAGGCAGCAGUGGGGAAUAUUGCACAAUGGGCGCAAGCCUGAUGCAGCCAUGCCGCGUGUAUGAAGAAGGCCUUCGGGUUGUAAAGUACUUUCAGUGGGGAGGAAGGCGAUGGAGUUAAUAGCUUCGUCGAUUGACGUUACCCGCAGAAGAAGCACCGGCUAACUCCGUGCCAGCAGCCGCGGUAAUACGGAGGGUGCAAGCGUUAAUCGGAAUUACUGGGCGUAAAGCGCACGCAGGCGGUCUGUCAAGUCGGAUGUGAAAUCCCCGGGCUCAACCUGGGAACUGCAUUCGAAACUGGCAGGCUAGAGUCUUGUAGAGGGGGGUAGAAUUCCAGGUGUAGCGGUGAAAUGCGUAGAGAUCUGGAGGAAUACCGGUGGCGAAGGCGGCCCCCUGGACAAAGACUGACGCUCAGGUGCGAAAGCGUGGGGAGCAAACAGGAUUAGAUACCCUGGUAGUCCACGCCGUAAACGAUGUCGACUUAGAGGUUGUGCCCUUGAGGCGUGGCUUCCGGAGCUAACGCGUUAAGUCGACCGCCUGGGGAGUACGGCCGCAAGGUUAAAACUCAAAUGAAUUGACGGGGGCCCGCACAAGCGGUGGAGCAUGUGGUUUAAUUCGAUGCAACGCGAAGAACCUUACCUGGCCUUGACAUCCACGGAAUUUGGCAGAGAUGCCUUAGUGCCUUCGGGAACCGUGAGACAGGUGCUGCAUGGCUGUCGUCAGCUCGUGUUGUGAAAUGUU
Molecule: ribosomal RNA, 1023 nt
Filed under: uncultured bacterium
Lineage: Bacteria
Description: bacterial SSU rRNA
Rfam family: Bacterial small subunit ribosomal RNA
Source: RNAcentral